CAAAUCAAUCAAUCAAAAAGCUUGAAAUUAACCAUUGUUAUGUUCUUCACAGAUGGACAGUCCACAUGGUCCGGUGUGGGGGAAACCUGGACUAAUAGUGAAAAACCCAGAGUUUAAGGAGAAAGUUCUCAAGACUUCAAGGGCGUCUCCGUUGAUGCCACAGUCGUGCUUUUCUCCACAGGACGUCUCUCUCUGAGCCUCUACUCGAUGUUGUUUGUUUUAUAUCUUCGUCUUUCUGUUUUUUAGACUUUUAACUGUGAGUAAACACAACACCCUGGAACAGAGAAACCGAACCACAGCUCAAGAACUCAUUUUAAUUUGAUUUAUUAUUUAUAUUUUUAAUCUUUUUUUGAUUUCCUGAUUACUUUUACUCCUGUAUCACAUUUAUUGAUAAAAUGGUAUAAUUUGGUUGCAUGUACGGCGAGUAGGCAACGGCAAUAGACAAUAUUAUCAUUUGUUCAAAGAAAUGGCUGUGGCUUUGUUUCUCUGGGCCAUAAUUACUCUGUUUACUUGUGUUGUUUAGCUGCUGUAUAUUCAUUUAUAACCACUAUAUUGUACAGAAUAUGUCUCUUUAAUACGAAUUUUAAAUGUUUCCCCCGUUGGUUUUGGUACGACAUGUUUUUUUAAAUGUAUUUUACGUUACAUGAAUGAGUCUAUUUUUGACCUUCAAUGUGAAAUGUUACUUGAAGUGCAUAUGACAGGUUGUACUCUCUAUCCAAAUCUGUCAUGUGCACUUACACUUUUGAAAGGUUUUAAGGACAAGGCUGUGAAUUGUUGGUAACAGAAAGUUGGGAGAAGGAAGUGGGACGUUGUUUUGGAGGGAAUGAGCACUUUGAAAUGGUCUUAACUUUUUGGUCAGUAUUGGGAGCUUUUAUGGCGCUACUAAAUGUCGAAAGCGUGUGUGCAUCUACAUAAGCAAGAAGUUUGUGUGAAAAUGUGUUUACUUUGAAGCCUUGUUCAGUGAGUGGUUUCAGUAUUUCUGACAGGACUUGAUGCAUACCUGUUUUAAGUACUGUAUAUGAUGACUUGUCAAAACUGAAGAUUAAUCAUCUGAAAUGUUGACAUAUUUACUUUAUUUUAACCAUCCAGACGAU
Molecule: long non-coding RNA, 1094 nt
Filed under: Neogobius melanostomus (round goby)
Lineage: Eukaryota; Metazoa; Chordata; Actinopteri; Gobiiformes; Gobiidae
Description: lncRNA (ENSNMLG00000004938.1)
Source: RNAcentral